UGGGGAAUAUUGCACAAUGGGCGCAAGCCUGAUGCAGCCAUGCCGCGUGUAUGAAGAAGGCCUUCGGGUUGUAAAGUACUUUCAGCGAGGAGGAAGGCGUUGUGGUUAAUAACCGCAACGAUUGACGUUACUCGCAGAAGAAGCACCGGCUAACUCCGUGCCAGCAGCCGCGGUACUACGGAGGGUGCAAGCGUUAAUCGGAAUUACUGGGCGUAAAGCGCACGCAGGCGGUCUGUCAAGUCGGAUGUGAAAUCCCCGGGCUCAACCUGGGAACUGCAUCCGAAACUGGCAGGCUAGAGUCUUGUAGAGGGGGGUAGAAUUCCAGGUGUAGCGGUGAAAUGCGUAGAGAUCUGGAGGAAUACCGGUGGCGAAGGCGGCCCCCUGGACAAAGACUGACGCUCAGGUGCGAAAGCGUGGGGAGCAAACA
This 427-nucleotide ribosomal RNA is filed under the name uncultured bacterium. RNAcentral's name for it is "partial 16S ribosomal RNA". It matches the Rfam family "Bacterial small subunit ribosomal RNA", at positions 355 to 774 of the family's 1533-position model. The record is from RNAcentral.